This 483-nucleotide ribosomal RNA is filed under the name uncultured bacterium. Its description in RNAcentral is "partial 16S ribosomal RNA". It matches the Rfam family "Bacterial small subunit ribosomal RNA", at positions 28 to 507 of the family's 1533-position model. The record is from RNAcentral.
GACGAACGCUGGCGGCGUGCUUAACACAUGCCAGUCGAACGCUGAAGCUCAGCUUUUGUUGGGUGGAUGAGUGGCGAACGGGUGAGUAACACGUGAGUAACCUGCCCCCUUCUUUGGGAUAACGCCCGGAAACGGGUGCUAAUACUGGAUAUUCACUGGUCUUCGCAUGGGGGUUGGUGGAAAGGGUUUUUCUGGUGGGGGAUGGGCUCGCGGCCUAUCAGCUUGUUGGUGGGGUGAUGGCCUACCAAGGCUUUGACGGGUAGCCGGCCUGAGAGGGUGACCGGUCACAUUGGGACUGAGAUACGGCCCAGACUCCUACGGGAGGCAGCAGUGGGGAAUAUUGCACAAUGGGCGCAAGCCUGAUGCAGCGACGCCGCGUGAGGGAUGGAGGCCUUCGGGUUGUGAACCUCUUUCGCUCAUGGUCAAGCCGCAACAAUGGUUGUGGUGAGGGUAGUGGGUAAAGAAGCGCCGGCUAACUACGUG